Molecule: ribosomal RNA, 155 nt
Filed under: Acetobacter aceti
Lineage: Bacteria; Pseudomonadati; Pseudomonadota; Alphaproteobacteria; Acetobacterales; Acetobacteraceae
Description: partial 16S ribosomal RNA
Rfam family: Bacterial small subunit ribosomal RNA
Source: RNAcentral
GGGCUACACACGUGCUACAAUGGCGGUGACAGUGGGAAGCUAGAUGGCGACAUCGUGCCGAUCUCUAAAAACCGUCUCAGUUCGGAUUGCACUCUGCAACUCGAGUGCAUGAAGGUGGAAUCGCUAGUAAUCGCGGAUCAGCAUGCCGCGGUGAA